UUUCUGCUCUAUUAUACUGCAUUCGUCAUGUAUAAAAAGGAGAUUUUUCUUUCAAAACUAUGCCAUCUGGAAAAUAACUGAAAUCUAUUUGCCAUGACAGUGCCUUGUUGAGAGACUUGAUACUUUUUUAUGCAUUUACCUUUUCGCACCCUGAAACAGUGCCUGGAAGUACACUUCCUUUUUUCCAUCUUUCUAAAGUACAUGUUAAUUACGCAAUGUAGAGAGGCAAUCCCAUAACAGCUAGUUUUGAACUCUUGUGUGUCUUUUCUUUAUUUUCAUUUCUUGUGCAUUGUUCUAAAUACAUGUAUUUGGAUAUCAUUGUGUAAGUAUAAUAUGUUUAAAAAUGUGUCAGGACAUGUUCCUGGGGUAAAUCAAAAGCAGAACAGCAACAUCUCCUUUCGUUUAAUAAUAAAUGUUGCGAAGAGCAGGAGCAUGAACAGUACAUGUAUUGACAUACAGUGGAGUUAUAAAACAAAUUCUACAGGACGACAGCCAGAUUUUCUUCAGUUUAGCUGUGCAUUAGGCUUAGAGAGAUUGCUCAAAUAGAGAGAAAAGAAGAAAAAAACAGUGGUUCUAUUUUCUUUCACUUUGUUGCUGUUUUUGGAUUAACCUUUUUGGGUUUAAGUUGACUCCACUGUAUUUAGCUUAAACGGAUAUAAGGGCAUAUUAAUUGCCAGAAUCUCCCUGUUUUGCCCUCCUACUAGACAGGCUUUCUUUUCCAAUCUGUUCCAUCGGCCAUCUGAUGUGCAAUAGGAUCUAGGAUGUGAGAUUCGUCAGAUAAUUUUCCCGAUUUUUAAAAGUAUAAUUGAAGUUACUUAUUCAAAGGUAAUGUAUGGGCUGUUAUAAUCUCGCAUUGGCCAAAGUCAGUAAUUUGUUGUUGUCUCUUCAUGUAGAUAUCUUUGUUCUACUUUGAAAAAGUUGCACCUUUGAUUGUGAUUUGCUUCAUUAAGGAGUAAGGUUAGUUAUUUUUAAGACUAUGCAUACAUUCAGUUCAAGGGCAUUAGAAACAGGAAAACAGGAUGAAAAAAUGUUGCCUGUAAAUUUCAAUUUUGCUGUUCUAGUAAUCCCUGCUUCUACUUUACAUCUUCCUCUCCAAGAUAGUAUGACAAAAAUUAUGACAGUAGUUAGUGGUGGAUUAAUUGGUCGUCUCUCAACACCUCUGGCAUGUACAUGAUGGAUCAGACCAGGGUUGUUUUCAGAUUUAUGUCAAUAUUCAUUAUUAAACCUCUAUUAUCCUGCAAUUUCGGUUUACUGCUGGGCUGAGUACGCUUCCAUGAUACCAUCAAAUACUA
This is a long non-coding RNA of Aplysia californica (California sea hare), 1292 nucleotides long. RefSeq lists it as uncharacterized. NCBI's taxonomy places the organism in Eukaryota, Metazoa, Mollusca, Gastropoda, Aplysiida, Aplysiidae. The transcript has 2 exons. The record is from RefSeq and is a predicted model, not a curated record.